RNAcentral lists this ribosomal RNA (633 nucleotides) under uncultured archaeon. RNAcentral's name for it is "bacterial SSU rRNA". It matches the Rfam family "Archaeal small subunit ribosomal RNA", at positions 85 to 715 of the family's 1478-position model. The record is from RNAcentral.
ACGGCUCAGUAACACGUGGAUAACCUGCCCUUGGGACCGGGAUAACCCUGGGAAACUGGGGAUAAACCCGGAUAGGUGAAUAUUCCUGGAAUGGUGCUUCGCCCAAACGCCUCCUGGUGCCCAAGGAUGGGUCUGCGGCCGAUUAUGUAGUUGGUAGGGUAACGGCCUACCAAGCCCAUCAUCGGUACGGGUUGUGAAAGCAAAAGCCCGGAAAUGGAACCUGAAACAAGGUUCCAGGCCCUACGGGGCGCACCAGGCGCGAAACCUCCGCAAUGCACGCAAGUGCGACGGGGGAACCCCAAGUGCCACUCUUAACGGGGUGGCUUUUCAAAAGUGUAAAAAGCUUCUGGAAUAAGGGCUGGGCAAGACCGGUGCCAGCCGCCGCGGUAACACCGGCAGCUCAAGUGGUAGCCGCUUUUAUUGGGCCUAAAGCGUCCGUAGCCGGUCUGAUAAGUCUCUGGUGAAAUCCCACAGCUUAACUGUGGGAAUUGCUGGAGAUACUAUCAUGACUCGAGGUCGGGAGAGGCUGGAGGUACUCCCAGGGUAGGGGUGAAAUCCUGUAAUCCUGGGAGGACCACCUGUGGCGAAGGCGUCCAGCUGGAACGAACCUGACGGUGAGGGACGAAAGCCAGG